This 460-nucleotide ribosomal RNA is filed under the name uncultured bacterium. Its description in RNAcentral is "partial 16S ribosomal RNA". It matches the Rfam family "Bacterial small subunit ribosomal RNA", at positions 338 to 795 of the family's 1533-position model. The record is from RNAcentral.
CCUACGGGAGGCAGCAGUGAGGAAUAUUGGUCAAUGGACGAGAGUCUGAACCAGCCAAGUAGCGUGAAGGAUGACUGCCCUAUGGGUUGUAAACUUCUUUUAUAUGGGAAUAAAACGUUCCACGUGUGGGAUUUUGUAUGUACCAUAUGAAUAAGGAUCGGCUAACUCCGUGCCAGCAGCCGCGGUAAUACGGAGGAUCCGAGCGUUAUCCGGAUUUAUUGGGUUUAAAGGGAGCGUAGGUGGAUUGUUAAGUCAGUUGUGAAAGUUUGCGGCUCAACCGUAAAAUUGCAGUUGAAACUGGCAGUCUUGAGUACAGUAGAGGUGGGCGGAAUUCGUGGUGUAGCGGUGAAAUGCUUAGAUAUCACGAAGAACUCCGAUUGCGAAGGCAGUUCACUGGACUGCAACCGACACUGAGGCUCGAAAGUGUGGGUAUCAAACAGGAUUAGAUACCCCUGUAGUC